AUAGAACGCUGGCGGCCGGCCUAACACAGGCAAGUCGAGCAAGCGGCGGACGGGUGAGUAAUGUAUGGGGACUGCCCGAUAGAGGGGGAUAACUACUGGAAAAGGUAGCUAAUACCGCAUACUAUCGGAUAACCCAUAUUGGAUUAGCUCGUGGGUGAGGUAAUGGCUCACCUAGGCGACGAUCCCUAGCUGGUCUGAGAGGAUGAUCAGCCACACUGGGACUGAGACACGGCCCAGACUCCUACGGAGGCAGCAGUGGGGAAUAUUGCACAAUGGGCGCAAGCCUGAUGCAGCCAUGCCGCGUGUAUGAAGAAGGCCCUAGGGUUGUAAAGUACUUUCAGUCGGGAGGCGUUACCGACAGAAGAAGCACCGGCUAUCUCUGUGCCAGCAGCCGCGUUAAUUC
This 403-nucleotide ribosomal RNA is filed under the name uncultured bacterium. Its description in RNAcentral is "partial 16S ribosomal RNA". It matches the Rfam family "Bacterial small subunit ribosomal RNA", at positions 31 to 526 of the family's 1533-position model. The record is from RNAcentral.